This is a long non-coding RNA of Hippocampus comes (tiger tail seahorse), 449 nucleotides long. RefSeq lists it as uncharacterized. The transcript is spliced from 2 exons. Lineage: Eukaryota; Metazoa; Chordata; Actinopteri; Syngnathiformes; Syngnathidae. The record is from RefSeq and is a predicted model, not a curated record.
AGAAGGGGGAGCAAACUCAGGUUGCACUGUGCAGCAUCUCACCCCGACGCUCUGCAAGACCUUGGUGACCCCUGACAUUAGAUCAGCACACCUGAACAUCCUUCAGUGAACCUGAGAAGCAUUUUUUAGAAGGUGGGAAGAAGCUGGAGUACCUGUGUAUGGGAAAGGCAUUGUGACAGAGGAUGUGGACCGAGGCCACCAUGAACGAGUCGUACAACUCCCAGAUGUGGAGCUCAUGCACCUCCUCCACCCCAGGCACGCUCCUGAUCCGCUCUCUCACAUCCGAUAGGCUCACGUGAGGAGGCGUGGCUUGCAUCAACAGCAGCCCGUACCUGUGCAUCUGAUGAGGGCUAUACAUAAAUGUCACACACGCCAAUACAGCAAUACCAUGAUAUUUAAAAUGAAAACAUGAUUAAAUAACAUUAAAAAAAUAAACUGGUUUUGUCACA